Molecule: ribosomal RNA, 447 nt
Filed under: uncultured bacterium
Lineage: Bacteria
Description: partial 16S ribosomal RNA
Rfam family: Bacterial small subunit ribosomal RNA
Source: RNAcentral
AACGAACGCUGGCGGCAGGCCUAAAACAUGCAUGUCGAACGCCCCGCAAGGGGAGUGGCGCACGGGUGAGUAACGCGUGGGAACGUGCCCUUCACUACGGGACAACGUCGGGAAACUGACGCUAAUACCGUAUAAUGACUCCGGUCCAAAGAUUUAUCGGUGAAGGAGCGGCCCGCGUCUGAUUAGCUAGUUGGUGAGGUAAAGGCUUACCAAGGCUACGAUCAGUAGCAGGUCUGAGAGGAUGAUCUGCCACACUGGGACUGAGACACGGCCCAGACUCCUACGGGAGGCAGCAGUUAGGAAUAUUGGACAAUGGGCGAAAGCCUGAUCCAGCCAUGCCGCGUGUGUGAUGAAGGCCCUAGGGUUGUAAAGCACUUUCGUUGGGGAUGAUAAUGACCGUACCCAAAGAAGCAGCACCGGCUAACUUCGUGCCAGCCGCCGCGGUAA